Molecule: unclassified non-coding RNA, 386 nt
Filed under: Elsholtzia communis
Lineage: Eukaryota; Viridiplantae; Streptophyta; Magnoliopsida; Lamiales; Lamiaceae
Description: partial external transcribed spacer
Source: RNAcentral
AGCAUCUCCUUCACGCCUCUUCAUUUGUUGGCGCAAGCGUGGUCUUGGCCAAAAUCGGGUUCCCUGUGCUAGAUACCUAUCUCGAAGGAAUUUUGUCGGUUCAAUUGUUGGAAUUCCGUCGUGUUCCACUGCUCCUUGCGGGGAAGUGGUGCGCUGCGGACCUCAAGGCACUCGCCGUGUCUCACAUUGUGUUCACCUAUAUAGGUGUUCCGAUUGUUGAGCCAUGGCGCAAUGCUUGAUAUCUCGGGUGCGGAACAUCUCGUGGGUAUGAGGCCUUUCGGCCUCUAAUCACCACAACAACUAGCGUUCUACGCUUCGUGCGAACGACGGUUGGCUCGGUUUUCAAAUGUGCUCUAGUAGUCCAAUUGGAGUCGAGCCAACGUCGG